RNAcentral lists this ribosomal RNA (503 nucleotides) under uncultured bacterium. RNAcentral describes it as "bacterial SSU rRNA". It matches the Rfam family "Bacterial small subunit ribosomal RNA", at positions 28 to 523 of the family's 1533-position model. The record is from RNAcentral.
GACGAACGCUGGCGGCGUGGAUUAGGCAUGCAAGUCGAACGGUAUCAUCCUUUCGGGGGUGAGAGAGUGGCGAACUGGUGAGUAACACGUAGGUUAUCUACCCUCAAGACGGGGACAACCCAGGGAAACUUGGGCUAAUACCGGAUGUGAGCAACUUUUAGUUGUUUGAAAGGUGGCGUAAGCUGUCGCUUGGGGAUGAGCCUGCGUCCUAUUAGUUAGUUGGUGAGGUAAGAGCUCACCAAGGCGAUGAUAGAUAGGCGGCCUUAACGGGUGGUCGCCCACACUGGGAUUGAGAUACGGCCCAGACUCCUACGGGAGGCAGCAGUCGAGAAUAGUCUACAAUGGCCGGAAGGCUGAUAGUGCGACGCCGCGUGAACGAGGGAGCCCUUCGGGGUGUAAAGUUCUUUUAUAUGUGAGCAGUGCUUCUUAUAUUAACAGUAUGGGGAGAGAGAUAUUAGCAUAUGAAUAAGCAACGGCUAACUCCGUGCCAGCAGCCGCGGUAA